This 253-nucleotide ribosomal RNA is filed under the name uncultured bacterium. RNAcentral describes it as "partial 16S ribosomal RNA". It matches the Rfam family "Bacterial small subunit ribosomal RNA", at positions 524 to 776 of the family's 1533-position model. The record is from RNAcentral.
UACGGGGGGGGCAAGCGUUGUUCGGAAUUACUGGGCGUAAAGGGCUCGUAGGCGGCCAACUAAGUCAGACGUGAAAUCCCCAGGCUCAACCUGGGAACUGCGUCUGAUACUGGAUGGCUUGAAUCCGGGAGAGGGAUGCAGAAUUCCAGGUGUAGCGGUGAAAUGCGUAGAGAUCCGGAAGAACACCGGUGGCGAAGGCGGCCUGCUGGGCAGUUGCUGACACUGAGGCGCGACAGCGUGGGGAGCAAACAGG